RNAcentral lists this ribosomal RNA (641 nucleotides) under uncultured Microbacterium sp. Its description in RNAcentral is "bacterial SSU rRNA". It matches the Rfam family "Bacterial small subunit ribosomal RNA", at positions 897 to 1533 of the family's 1533-position model. Lineage: Bacteria; Bacillati; Actinomycetota; Actinomycetes; Micrococcales; Microbacteriaceae. The record is from RNAcentral.
GAACUUAAAGGAAUUGACGGGGACCCGCACAAGCGGCGGAGCAUGCGGAUUAAUUCGAUGCAACGCGAAGAACCUUACCAAGGCUUGACAUACACGAGAACGCCCUAGAAAUAGGGAACUCUUUGGACACUCGUGAACAGGUGGUGCAUGGUUGUCGUCAGCUCGUGUCGUGAGAUGUUGGGUUAAGUCCCGCAACGAGCGCAACCCUCGUUCUAUGUUGCCAGCACGUAAUGGUGGGAACUCAUGGGAUACUGCCGGGGUCAACUCGGAGGAAGGUGGGGAUGACGUCAAAUCAUCAUGCCCCUUAUGUCUUGGGCUUCACGCAUGCUACAAUGGCCGGUACAAAGGGCUGCAAUACCGUAAGGUGGAGCGAAUCCCAAAAAGCCGGUCCCAGUUCGGAUUGAGGUCUGCAACUCGACCUCAUGAAGUCGGAGUCGCUAGUAAUCGCAGAUCAGCAACGCUGCGGUGAAUACGUUCCCGGGUCUUGUACACACCGCCCGUCAAGUCAUGAAAGUCGGUAACACCUGAAGCCGGUGGCCCAACCCUUGUGGAGGGAGCCGUCGAAGGUGGGAUCGGUAAUUAGGACUAAGUCGUAACAAGGUAGCCGUACCGGAAGGUGCGGCUGGAUCACCUCCUUUAUG